Molecule: non-coding RNA, 82 nt
Organism: Pangasianodon gigas (Mekong giant catfish)
Lineage: Eukaryota; Metazoa; Chordata; Actinopteri; Siluriformes; Pangasiidae
Source: the annotation of a GenBank genome assembly
CAAAAAGACAGAAGGAAACAGCUUGUUGAUGAGAGAGGUCAGAGGAGAAUGGCCAGACUGGUUGGAGCUGACAGGAAGGCUG